This 539-nucleotide ribosomal RNA is filed under the name Rattus norvegicus (Norway rat). RNAcentral describes it as "partial large subunit ribosomal RNA". It matches the Rfam family "Bacterial large subunit ribosomal RNA", at positions 1844 to 2606 of the family's 2925-position model. The record is from RNAcentral. Lineage: Eukaryota; Metazoa; Chordata; Mammalia; Rodentia; Muridae.
UAUCAGAGGCAUUGCCUGCCCAGUGACUAAAGUUAAACGGCCGCGGUAUCCUGACCGUGCAAAGGUAGCAUAAUCACUUGUUCCUUAAUUAGGGACUAGAAUGAAUGGCUAAACGAGGGUUCAACUGUCUCUUACUUUCAAUCAGUGAAAUUGACCUUCCAGUGAAGAGGCUGGAAUCUCCCAAUAAGACGAGAAGACCCUAUGGAGCUUUAAUUUACUAGUUCAACUUAUAUAAAAACAACCUAAUGGGCUAAAACAAAAUAAAUAUGAACUAAAAAAUUUCGGUUGGGGUGACCUCGGAGAAUAAAAAAUCCUCCGAAUGAUUUUAACCUAGACUCACAAGUCAAAGUAAUACUAAUAUCUUAUUGACCCAAUUAUUGAUCAACGGACCAAGUUACCCUAGGGAUAACAGCGCAAUCCUAUUUAAGAGUUCAUAUCGACAAUUAGGGUUUACGACCUCGAUGUUGGAUCAGGACAUCCCAAUGGUGCAGAAGCUAUUAAUGGUUCGUUUGUUCAACGAUUAAAGUCCUACGUGAUCU